Molecule: ribosomal RNA, 1449 nt
Filed under: Salmonella enterica subsp. enterica serovar Newport
Lineage: Bacteria; Pseudomonadati; Pseudomonadota; Gammaproteobacteria; Enterobacterales; Enterobacteriaceae
Also listed under: 2 other names
Description: partial 23S ribosomal RNA
Rfam family: Bacterial large subunit ribosomal RNA
Source: RNAcentral
AGACCCGAAACCCGGUGAUCUAGCCAUGGGCAGGUUGAAGGUUGGGUAACACUAACUGGAGGACCGAACCGACUAAUGUUGAAAAAUUAGCGGAUGACCUGUGGCUGGGGGUGAAAGGCCAAUCAAACCGGGAGAUAGCUGGUUCUCCCCGAAAGCUAUUUAGGUAGCGCCUCGUGAAUUCAUCUCCGGGGGUAGAGCACUGUUUCGGCUAGGGGGCCAUCCCGGCUUACCAACCCGAUGCAAACUGCGAAUACCGGAGAAUGUUAUCACGGGAGACACACGGCGGGUGCUAACGUCCGUCGUGAAGAGGGAAACAACCCAGACCGCCAGCUAAGGUCCCAAAGUCAUGGUUAAGUGGGAAACGAUGUGGGAAGGCCCAGACAGCCAGGAUGUUGGCUUAGAAGCAGCCAUCAUUUAAAGAAAGCGUAAUAGCUCACUGGUCGAGUCGGCCUGCGCGGAAGAUGUAACGGGGCUAAACCAUGCACCGAAGCUGCGGCAGCGACACUGUGUGUUGUUGGGUAGGGGAGCGUUCUGUAAGCCUGUGAAGGUGGCCUGUGAGGGUUGCUGGAGGUAUCAGAAGUGCGAAUGCUGACAUAAGUAACGAUAAAGCGGGUGAAAAGCCCGCUCGCCGGAAGACCAAGGGUUCCUGUCCAACGUUAAUCGGGGCAGGGUGAGUCGACCCCUAAGGCGAGGCCGAAAGGCGUAGUCGAUGGGAAACGGGUUAAUAUUCCCGUACUUGGUGUUACUGCGAAGGGGGGACGGAGAAGGCUAUGUUGGCCGGGCGACGGUUGUCCCGGUUUAAGCGUGUAGGUGUGUGUUCCAGGUAAAUCCGGUUCACUUUAACACUGAGGCGUGAUGACGAGGCACUACGGUGCUGAAGCAACAAAUGCCCUGCUUCCAGGAAAAGCCUCUAAGCAUCAGGUAACAUCAAAUCGUACCCCAAACCGACACAGGUGGUCAGGUAGAGAAUACCAAGGCGCUUGAGAGAACUCGGGUGAAGGAACUAGGCAAAAUGGUGCCGUAACUUCGGGAGAAGGCACGCUGACACGUAGGUGAAGUGAUUUACUCACGGAGCUGAAGUCAGUCGAAGAUACCAGCUGGCUGCAACUGUUUAUUAAAAACACAGCACUGUGCAAACACGAAAGUGGACGUAUACGGUGUGACGCCUGCCCGGUGCCGGAAGGUUAAUUGAUGGGGUCAGCGCAAGCGAAGCUCCUGAUCGAAGCCCCGGUAAACGGCGGCCGUAACUAUAACGGUCCUAAGGUAGCGAAAUUCCUUGUCGGGUAAGUUCCGACCUGCACGAAUGGCGUAAUGAUGGCCAGGCUGUCUCCACCCGAGACUCAGUGAAAUUGAACUCGCUGUGAAGAUGCAGUGUACCCGCGGCAAGACGGAAAGACCCCGUGAACCUUUACUAUAGCUUGACACUGAACAUUGAGCCUUGAUGUGUAG